This 69-nucleotide transfer RNA is filed under the name Pseudomonas aeruginosa. RNAcentral's name for it is "tRNA-Arg". It matches the Rfam family "tRNA". From Rfam's summary of the family: Transfer RNA (tRNA) molecules are approximately 80 nucleotides in length. Their secondary structure includes four short double-helical elements and three loops (D, anti-codon, and T loops). Further hydrogen bonds mediate the characteristic L-shaped molecular structure. tRNAs have two regions of fundamental functional importance: the anti-codon, which is responsible for specific mRNA codon recognition, and the 3' end, to which the tRNAs corresponding amino acid is attached (by aminoacyl-tRNA synthetases). tRNAs cope with the degeneracy of the genetic code in two manners: having more than one tRNA (with a specific anti-codon) for a particular amino acid; and 'wobble' base-pairing, i.e. permitting non-standard base-pairing at the 3rd anti-codon position. Lineage: Bacteria; Pseudomonadati; Pseudomonadota; Gammaproteobacteria; Pseudomonadales; Pseudomonadaceae. The record is from RNAcentral.
GUCCUCGUAGUUUAAUGGAUAGAACGGCCCCCUCCUAAGGGGUCGGUACAGGUUCGAUUCCUGUCGGGG